Molecule: ribosomal RNA, 283 nt
Filed under: uncultured bacterium
Lineage: Bacteria
Description: partial 16S ribosomal RNA
Rfam family: Bacterial small subunit ribosomal RNA
Source: RNAcentral
AAUCUACCUUUCACAAAGGGAUAGCCCAGAGAAAUUUGGAUUAAUACCUUAUAGUAUUAUAGAAUGGCAUCAUUUUGUAAUUAAAGAUUUAUCGGUGAAAGAUGAGCAUGCGUCCCAUUAGCUAGUUGGUAUGGUAACGGCAUACCAAGGCAACGAUGGGUAGGGGUCCUGAGAGGGAGAUCCCCCACACUGGUACUGAGACACGGACCAGACUCCUACGGGAGGCAGCAGUGAGGAAUAUUGGACAAUGGGCGCAAGCCUGAUCCAGCCAUGCCGCGUGCAG